CCGAUUAAGCAACUCCGCCUCGGGGAGUACGGACCGCAAGGCUGAAACUCAAAGGAAUUGACGGGACCGCGACAAGCGGUGGAGCAUGUGGUUAAUUCGACGCAACGCGAAGACCUUACCAGGUCUUGUACAUCUUUUGCUACUUCUGGAGACAGAAGGUUCCCCUUCGGGGGUACAAAAUGACAGGUGGUGCAUGGUUGUCGUCAGCUCGUGUCGUGAGAUGUUGGGUUAAGUCCCGCAACGAGCGCAACCCUUAAUCUUAGUUGCCAGCAUUCAGCUGGGCACUCUAAGGUGACUGCCGGUGACAAACCGGAGGAAGGUGGGGACGACGUCAAAUCAUCAUGCCCCUUAUGACCUGGGCUACACACGUGCUACAAUGGAUGGUACAGAGGGAUGCGAAACCGCGAGGUGGAGCCAAUCUCGCAAAGCCAUUCUCAGUUCGGAUUGCAGGCUGCAACUCGCCUGCAUGAAGCCGGAAUCGCUAGUAAUCGUGGAUCAGCAUGCCACGGUGAAUACGUUCCC
This 522-nucleotide ribosomal RNA is filed under the name uncultured Marinococcus sp. RNAcentral's name for it is "bacterial SSU rRNA". It matches the Rfam family "Bacterial small subunit ribosomal RNA", at positions 856 to 1375 of the family's 1533-position model. The record is from RNAcentral. Lineage: Bacteria; Bacillati; Bacillota; Bacilli; Caryophanales; Bacillaceae.